UACAGAGGGUGCAAGCGUUAAUCGGAAUUACUGGGCGUAAAGGGCGCGUAGGUGGCUAUUUAAGUUUGAUGUGAAAUCCCUGGGCUUAACCUAGGAACUGCAUUGGAAACUGGAUAGCUGGAGUACUGUAGAGGGUAGUGGAAUUUCCGGUGUAGCGGUGAAAUGCGUAGAGAUCGGAAGGAACACCAGUGGCGAAGGCGGCUACCUGGACAGAUACUGACACUGAGGCGCGAGAGCGUGGGGAGCAACAG
This 251-nucleotide ribosomal RNA is filed under the name uncultured bacterium. Its description in RNAcentral is "partial 16S ribosomal RNA". It matches the Rfam family "Bacterial small subunit ribosomal RNA", at positions 524 to 774 of the family's 1533-position model. The record is from RNAcentral.